UUGUUCAGCAAUUCCGCAGCAUCGCAUCUCCCUUCUGUCUUCUCCACAUUUGUUCUCUCCCUUCCGUCUCCUCCUUCAUCUUCUCUACCUUGUCCUCUCCCUUCCGUCUCCUCUUAACAUCCUUUCUGUGGCCGCCGCCGGGCAGCAGAAAACGUCACCCAUUUGUAGCAGCUGGUGUUCGUACACUGACACUCUGCCAACAGUAACGGGCCACCAAACACCGUUCUUAGUCUGUAAAUGUCUGCGAGCCUUCCCCACUGGAGCCAACCCCGCAUAUAAAGAAAUAGGUUUUUACGGACAUGCUUCGGUCCAAAAGAACAAAAUAAAUAAAAAAAAAUCCGGAUCUAAAGACGGAGGUUUCAAUGGUGAUGAGAACAAAAGGGUACAUGUUGUAGAAACCUUGGAAAAGGGGUUUCAAGCACCAAAUCAAAUAAAAAUACAAAUAAAUAUUUGACAAAAUAACUUCAGAAAUAUUAAAAAUGGAGAACAAAUGUUUUCAAUUAACUUUUCAAUAUAGAAUAGAGCUUUAAAAUAACAAAAAUGGAAAUAUUGAUAAAUUUACCUAUUUUUUGUUUCUUGAUCUUUCCAAUAUGCUUCAAUGUAAAAGUUUUAAAGUAAGGUUUCUUUUCAGUGAACUUUCCAAUAUGCUAUAUGCUAUAUUGUAAAAGUGAAAAUAGUGUUUCUUUUCAGGGCAUAAGUAUUUAUAGGAAGUUUCCCUCCAAAAUGUUGAUUCAAAAAUAUACUCCUUCUUUCCUAUUUUACCUGUCCUAUUUACUAUUCAUGGGUUAAACCAA
This is a long non-coding RNA of Ipomoea triloba (trilobed morning glory), 794 nucleotides long. RefSeq lists it as uncharacterized. The transcript has 3 exons. The record is from RefSeq and is a predicted model, not a curated record. Lineage: Eukaryota; Viridiplantae; Streptophyta; Magnoliopsida; Solanales; Convolvulaceae.